GACGAACGCUGGCGGCGUGCUUAACACAUGCAGGUCGAACGGAAAGGCCCUGCUUUUGUGGGGUGCUCGAGUGGCGAACGGGUGAGUAACACGUGAGUAACCUGCCCUUGACUUUGGGAUAACUUCAGGAAACUGGGGCUAAUACCGGAUAGGAGCUCCUGCUGCAUGGUGGGGGUUGGAAAGUUUCGGCGGUUGGGGAUGGACUCGCGGCUUACCAGCUUGUUGGUGGGGUAGUGGCUUACCAAGGCUUUGACGGGUAGCCGGCCUGAGAGGGUGACCGGCCACAUUGGGACUGAGAUACGGCCCAGACUCCUACGGGAGGCAGCAGUGGGGAAUAUUGCACAAUGGGCGGAAGCCUGAUGCAGCAACGCCGCGUGCGGGAUGACGGCCUUCGGGUUGUAAACCGCUUUCGCCUGUGACGAAGCGUGAGUGACGGUAAUGGGUAAAGAAGCACCGGCUAACUACGUG
This 468-nucleotide ribosomal RNA is filed under the name uncultured bacterium. RNAcentral describes it as "partial 16S ribosomal RNA". It matches the Rfam family "Bacterial small subunit ribosomal RNA", at positions 28 to 507 of the family's 1533-position model. The record is from RNAcentral.